AUACGUAGGGUGCGAGCGUUGUCCGGAAUUACUGGGCGUAAAGAGCUCGUAGGUGGUUUGUCGCGUCGUCUGUGAAAUUCCGGGGCUUAACUCCGGGCGUGCAGGCGAUACGGGCAUAACUUGAGUACUGUAGGGGAGACUGGAAUUCCUGGUGUAGCGGUGAAAUGCGCAGAUAUCAGGAGGAACACCGGUGGCGAAGGCGGGUCUCUGGGCAGUAACUGACGCUGAGGAGCGAAAGCAUGGGUAGCGAACAGGAUUAGAUACCCUGGUAGUCCAUGCCGUAAACGGUGGGCGCUAGGUGUGGGGGUCUUCCACGACUUCUGUGCCGUAGCUAACGCAUUAAGCGCCCCGCCUGGGGAGUACGGCCGCAAGGCUAAAACUCAAAUGAAUUGACGGGG
RNAcentral lists this ribosomal RNA (398 nucleotides) under uncultured bacterium. Its description in RNAcentral is "partial 16S ribosomal RNA". It matches the Rfam family "Bacterial small subunit ribosomal RNA", at positions 523 to 918 of the family's 1533-position model. The record is from RNAcentral.